UAUUUCUCCAUACAAAAGAAAAUUAACAUAAUUUUAUAAACUAAAUUCUCAUAAUAGAAGCAUAAUAGAAGUAUAGUGAACUAAAUUCUCAAGGACCUAUUUGUCCUUCGAACUUUAUUUGCAAAAUGACGUCAAGGACUUAUUUGUCC
Molecule: non-coding RNA, 149 nt
Organism: Arachis ipaensis
Lineage: Eukaryota; Viridiplantae; Streptophyta; Magnoliopsida; Fabales; Fabaceae
Source: RefSeq, a predicted model, not a curated record